The sequence is a ribosomal RNA, 340 nucleotides long. It matches the Rfam family "Microsporidia small subunit ribosomal RNA", at positions 752 to 1210 of the family's 1311-position model.
UGGAUAGUAAUACUAAUGAAAUUUAACGGAUUUGGCGGCAAGAUAGCCACUUAGAGGAACCUGCCCUAUAAACGAUGAGCCACGAUUAACCUUACUUUUACUAGAAUUCAGUUUGUAUACCGCUGUUGUCAGUUAGUUUCUUUAGAAAACUUUCGUACAUGAUAAAUUCAAGGACUUCAAGUAAAGGUGCAGCUUAUGUAAAAGAUAGAGGUGGGUUACAAUUAAAAGAGUAAUAUGGAUAAAGUUAGGAAAAAACUUUUGAAGGUGGAUUUAAUAGUAAAGUUUAAUAAGACUUGAUUAGAGCUCUAUCUUGUGUACACACCGCCCGUCGCUCGCGGGA